RNAcentral lists this non-coding RNA (226 nucleotides) under Alicyclobacillus acidoterrestris. Its description in RNAcentral is "T-box sequence". It matches the Rfam family "T-box leader". Rfam says of the family: Uncharged tRNA acts as the effector for transcription antitermination of genes in the T-box leader family. T-boxes are found upstream of many aminoacyl-tRNA synthetase genes and some amino acid biosynthetic genes usually in Gram-positive bacteria. Lineage: Bacteria; Bacillati; Bacillota; Bacilli; Caryophanales; Alicyclobacillaceae. The record is from RNAcentral.
GUCGUUGCUGUGAUGGAGAGAGUAGGCUGUGUCCAACCAAACAGAGAGUCGGUGGUGGGUGCGAACCGACGGGCGGGCAUGGUUGAAGUUCACUCUGGAGCUGCCGGGUGAAGGUCGAGAUGGCUGUGUAGUCCGUGCCGGAGCGCAAGCUUCGUUAUCCGAAUGAAGAUAAAAGGCUUUGAAGCCUUUUAUUAGGGUGGUACCGCGAGAAAAUCUCGCCCCUAUU